RNAcentral lists this ribosomal RNA (454 nucleotides) under uncultured bacterium. RNAcentral describes it as "bacterial SSU rRNA". It matches the Rfam family "Bacterial small subunit ribosomal RNA", at positions 29 to 503 of the family's 1533-position model. The record is from RNAcentral.
AACGAACGCUGGCGGCGCGCCUAAUACAUGCAAGUCGAGCGAGAAGGUGUAGCAAUACACUUGUAAAGCGGCAAACGGGUGAGUAACACGUGGGAACCUGCCUCGAAGUGGGGGAUAACGAUUGGAAACGGUCGCUAAUACCGCACGGUUCUGCUCUGAUGGGAAUGGAGCAGAUAAAGAUUUAUCGCUUUGAGAGGGGCCCGGGCCGAUUAGCUAGUUGGUAAGGUAAAGGCUUACCAAGGCGAUUAUCGGUAGCUGGUCUGAGAGGACGAUCAGCCACACGGGAACUGGAGACACGGUCCCGACUCCUACGGGGGGCAGCAGUGAGGAAUAUUGGGCAAUGGGCGAAAGCCUGACCCAGCAACGCCGCGUGGAGGAUGAAGGCUUUAGGGUUGUAAACUCCUUUUGUGGGGAAAGAAUGGAUGGUACCCCAAGAAUAAGUCACGGCUAACUA